AACUGUACUUAUAUGCUUAUACCCCAAAUAGAUGCACACACACAUAUAUAUAUAUAUACACAUAUAUGUGUGUGUGUAUGUAUGUAUAUAUAAUAUUAAAA
RNAcentral lists this microRNA precursor (101 nucleotides) under Mus musculus (house mouse). RNAcentral's name for it is "predicted gene, 55528 (ENSMUSG00002076571.1)". Lineage: Eukaryota; Metazoa; Chordata; Mammalia; Rodentia; Muridae. The record is from RNAcentral.